This 462-nucleotide ribosomal RNA is filed under the name uncultured bacterium. RNAcentral's name for it is "partial 16S ribosomal RNA". It matches the Rfam family "Bacterial small subunit ribosomal RNA", at positions 28 to 507 of the family's 1533-position model. The record is from RNAcentral.
GACGAACGCUGGCGGCGUGCUUAACACAUGCAAGUCGAGCGGUAAGGCCUUUCGGGGUACACGAGCGGCGAACGGGUGAGUAACACGUGGGUGAUCUGCCCUGCACUUCGGGAUAAGCCUGGGAAACUGGGUCUAAUACCGGAUAUGACCUCCUAUCGCAUGGUGGGUGGUGGAAAGAUUUAUCGGUGCAGGAUGGGCCCGCGGCCUAUCAGCUUGUUGGUGGGGUAAUGGCCUACCAAGGCGACGACGGGUAGCCGACCUGAGAGGGUGACCGGCCACACGGGGACGGAGAGAGGGACCAGGCGCCGGCGGGAUGCAGCAGUGGGGAAUGUUGCACAAUGGGCUAAAGCCUGAUGCAGCGACGCCGCGUGAGGGAUGACGGCCGUCGGGUUGUAAAACGCUUUCAGCAGGGAGGAAGCGAAAGUGACGGUACCUGAAUAAGAAGAACCGGCUAACUACGUG